This 301-nucleotide ribosomal RNA is filed under the name uncultured bacterium. RNAcentral describes it as "partial 16S ribosomal RNA". It matches the Rfam family "Bacterial small subunit ribosomal RNA", at positions 509 to 809 of the family's 1533-position model. The record is from RNAcentral.
CAGCAGCCACGGUAAUACAGAGGGUGCGAGCGUUAAUCGGAUUUACUGGGCGUAAAGCGUGCGUAGGCGGCUAAUUGAGUCGGAUGUGAAAUCCCCGAGCUUAACUUGGGAAUUGCAUUCGAUACUGGUUAGCUAGAGUGUGGGAGAGGAUGGUAGAAUUCCAGGUGUAGCGGUGAAAUGCGUAGAGAUCUGGAGGAAUACCGAUGGCGAAGGCAGCCAUCUGGCCUAACACUGACGCUGAGGUACGAAAGCAUGGGGAGCAAACAGGAUUAGAUACCCCGGUAGUCCCUGUCUCUUAUAA